This 504-nucleotide ribosomal RNA is filed under the name uncultured bacterium. RNAcentral's name for it is "partial 16S ribosomal RNA". It matches the Rfam family "Bacterial small subunit ribosomal RNA", at positions 28 to 523 of the family's 1533-position model. The record is from RNAcentral.
GAUAAACGCUAGCGGCAGGCUUAACACAUGCAAGUCGAGGGGCAGCAUAGAUUGUAGCAAUACAAUUGGUGGCGACCGGCGCACGGGUGCGUAACGCGUAGGCAACCUACCCGUCACAGGGGGAUAAUCCGGAGAAAUCUGGUCUAAUACCCCAUAACAUAUGGAUCGGCAUCGGUUCAUGUUGAAAUUUUCGGAGGUGACGGAUGGGCAUGCGUAGCAUUAGCUUGUUGGUGAGGUAACGGCUCACCAAGGCGACGAUGCUUAGGGGGACUGAGAGGUUUUCCCCCCACACUGGUACUGAGACACGGACCAGACUCCUACGGGAGGCAGCAGUGAGGAAUAUUGGUCAAUGGGCGCAAGCCUGAACCAGCCAUGCCGCAUGCAGGAUGACGGCUCUAUGAGUUGUAAACUGCUUUUGUACGAGGGUAAAGUGGGUUACGUGUAACCUUUUGAAAGUAUCGUACGAAUAAGGAUCGGCUAACUCCGUGCCAGCAGCCGCAGUAA